GCGGACAUAGCUCAGUUGGGAGAGCGUCAGACUGAAGUCAACUUCAAUCACUUAAUCUGAAGGUCGUGUGUUCAACCCACACUGGCCGCA
RNAcentral lists this transfer RNA (90 nucleotides) under Colletotrichum lupini. RNAcentral's name for it is "tRNA-Phe". It matches the Rfam family "tRNA". From Rfam's summary of the family: Transfer RNA (tRNA) molecules are approximately 80 nucleotides in length. Their secondary structure includes four short double-helical elements and three loops (D, anti-codon, and T loops). Further hydrogen bonds mediate the characteristic L-shaped molecular structure. tRNAs have two regions of fundamental functional importance: the anti-codon, which is responsible for specific mRNA codon recognition, and the 3' end, to which the tRNAs corresponding amino acid is attached (by aminoacyl-tRNA synthetases). tRNAs cope with the degeneracy of the genetic code in two manners: having more than one tRNA (with a specific anti-codon) for a particular amino acid; and 'wobble' base-pairing, i.e. permitting non-standard base-pairing at the 3rd anti-codon position. The record is from RNAcentral. Lineage: Eukaryota; Fungi; Ascomycota; Sordariomycetes; Glomerellales; Glomerellaceae.